CGAGGAAUAUUGCACAAUGGAGGCAACUCUGAUGCAGUAACGCCGCGUGAGGGAAGAAGAUUUUCGGAUUGUAAACCUCUUUUUGUAGAGACGAGUGAGGACGGUAUCUAUAGAAUAAGUCUCGGCUAACUACGUGCCAGCAGCCGCGGUAAGACGUAGGAGGCGAGCGUUAUCCGGAUUCACUGGGCGUAAAGCGCAUGUAGGCGGUUGUGCAAGUCGUGUGUUAAAGCCCCCGGCUCAACUGGGGGAGGUCAUGCGAAACUGUGCGACUUGAGGGCAGGAGAGGAACGUGGAACUCCCGGUGUAGCGGUGGAAUGCGUAGAGAUCGGGAAGAACACCAGUGGCGAAGGCGACGUUCUGGUCUGCACCUGACGCUGAGAUGCGAAAGUGUGGGUAGCAAACG
This 403-nucleotide ribosomal RNA is filed under the name uncultured bacterium. RNAcentral describes it as "partial 16S ribosomal RNA". It matches the Rfam family "Bacterial small subunit ribosomal RNA", at positions 355 to 774 of the family's 1533-position model. The record is from RNAcentral.